Molecule: ribosomal RNA, 301 nt
Filed under: uncultured bacterium
Lineage: Bacteria
Description: partial 16S ribosomal RNA
Rfam family: Bacterial small subunit ribosomal RNA
Source: RNAcentral
CAGUAGCCGCGGUAAUACGGAGGGAGCCAGCGUUGUUCGGAAUUACUGGGCGUAAAGCGCACGUAGGCGGCUUUGUAAGUUAGAGGUGAAAGCCUGGGGCUCAACUCCAGAAUUGCCUUUAAGACUGCAUCGCUUGAACGUCGGAGAGGUGAGUGGAAUUCCGAGUGUAGAGGUGAAAUUCGUAGAUAUUCGGAGGAACACCGAUGGCGUGGGCAGCCCCCUGGGCCAACACUGACGCUCAUGCACGAAAGCGUGGGGAGCAAACAGGAUUAGAUACCCCCGUAGUCCCUGUCUCUUAUAC